Molecule: ribosomal RNA, 288 nt
Filed under: Escherichia coli
Lineage: Bacteria; Pseudomonadati; Pseudomonadota; Gammaproteobacteria; Enterobacterales; Enterobacteriaceae
Description: partial 23S ribosomal RNA
Rfam family: Bacterial large subunit ribosomal RNA
Source: RNAcentral
UGCCGUGGGCGCUGGAGAAUUGAGGGGGGCUGCUCCUAGUACGAGAGGACCGGAGUGGACGCAUCACUGGUGUUCGGGUUGUCAUGCCAAUGGCACUGCCCGGUAGCUAAAUGCGGAAGAGAUAAGUGCUGAAAGCAUCUAAGCACGAAACUUGCCCCGAGAUGAGUUCUCCCUGACUCCUUGAGAGUCCUGAAGGAACGUUGAAGACGACGACGUUGAUAGGCCGGGUGUGUAAGCGCAGCGAUGCGUUGAGCUAACCGGUACUAAUGAACCGUGAGGCUUAACCUU